RNAcentral lists this ribosomal RNA (276 nucleotides) under Tanakia lanceolata. Its description in RNAcentral is "partial 12S rRNA". The record is from RNAcentral. Lineage: Eukaryota; Metazoa; Chordata; Actinopteri; Cypriniformes; Acheilognathidae.
CAAAGGCAUGGUCCUGACCUUAUUAUCAGCUUUAACUCAACUUACACAUGCAAGUAUCCGCACCCCCGUGAGUACGCCCUCGACCCCCCGCCCGGGGAUCAGGAGCGAGCAUCAGGCACACAAAUCCUAGCCCAAGACGCCCAGCCAAGCCACACCCCCAAGGGAAUUCAGCAGUGAUAAACAUUAAGCCAUGAGUGAAAACUCGACUCAGUCAGGGUUAACAGGGCCGGUAAAACUCGUGCCAGCUACCGCGGUUAUACGAGGAGGCCCCAGUAA